Molecule: ribosomal RNA, 253 nt
Filed under: uncultured bacterium
Lineage: Bacteria
Description: partial 16S ribosomal RNA
Rfam family: Bacterial small subunit ribosomal RNA
Source: RNAcentral
UACGUAGGGGGCAAGCGUUGUCCGGAAUCAUUGGGCGUAAAGCGCGCGUAGGCGGCCCGGUAAGUCCGUUGUGAAAGUCAAAGGCUCAACCUUUGAAUGCCGCUGGAUACUGCCUGACUUGAGUCCGGAAGGGGCGAGUGGAAUUCCUGGUGUAGCGGUGAAAUGCGCAGAUAUCAGGAGGAACACCAAUGGCGAAGGCAGCUCGCUGGAACGGUACUGACGCUGAGGCGCGAAAGCGUGGGGAGCGAACAGG